UUCUUAUGAUUGUAUUUUCAAAGUUUAUUUGCUUUACUAAUCUAUAUUCUACUAGUGACCAAAACUAUCUGGGAGAAAUAUUUGGUUCCCAGUGUGCCACCCGGAAAUGGGAAAACUGAGUCAGAUAGUCUGCUACUGUCUGCUGGCUGAGAACAUCAGCUAGCAAGAGAGGCCACCCUAGAGCAACUCCUAGAUCAGUACACCACCUUUGUCAAGCCUGCCUUUGAAGAAUUCUGCUUGCCAGAUGAUCAGAUUGAAGACAGUGGAAGCAAAAAAAAAUAUUUGAACCAGCUGCAUGAAUAAAGGAAACUGAAGGCAAAGAAUAAAAAACUCAAGGAAUAAGAAAAAGAAGGCAAGGAAUAAAAAAUAAAAAAAAAAACCUCAGUAAGAAAAAGCUGAUGCAUGUCUUGGUUACCGAGGUGUGUCCAUGGAGUAACAGUUGUAUCACUUCACUCUCUUGAACAACCAGAAAAAGCAAUGAAAAGUCACUAAAAACUCAACAAAAUACAGCUGGAAUUUCUUCAGAAACUCACUAAGCCACAGGUAAAAUCUCUCAGAAACAGUAAGUAUUCUGGAUUCAGUCACUUACUGAGAACAGUCUUCUGCAAAGACAAGGCUGGAGAAUCACCCCAAUUCCAGGGUCAUCGGCUAGCAAGGGACCACCCUGGAGAAGCUUUGAGCACAACACAUCACCUUUGUCAAACCUACUUUAAAGAAUUCUUCUUGCCAAUGAAAACAGUUCCUUCCCUCCACAACUAAGAAGCCUUGCCUGUCUCAAUUUUGGAUAAGAAAAGUGAUGAGCAACCAACAUGUGGACAGCUUUGCUUCACUUCCCUUCAUAUCUGUGUCUGGAAUUCUGUCCUCUCUCAUCAUGAAGCAAGGACUCUGUGUAUCUUCCCUCUACUGUAUCCCCUUGGCCAGAGGGGCUCCUGGCUCUGAGGAAAGGCUGAGUGAGUGUGUGCUGGUGGGGAGACAGGUGGGUGGGUGAGUAGAUGUAGAACUAGAUGGUGAUGCAUGGACGGUGGGGCAUGAGCAGAGAUGAAAAUUCAGGGGUCUAUGUGAAACCUGUUCCUUUCUGAGUGAGGGAUCCACCACAUGAGGUAUGUGCUACAGAGCUUACAUCUGGUCUCUGCCCAGGAUGCUCAACAGCCAAGGACACUGAUGGAGUCACCCACAGGGUCCAUGUAAAAACUCAGUGGUGGGAGCUUCUGAGUUUCUGAUGCUGUGCUCUGUGGUGUUAACACAUCAGAAAUAGUAACUUUGUGCUCUUCUGUUCUCUCCAAUUGUACUUGCUUAAAUAACUCUAUGUAAAGCUGGACUAUUUGAAAUGUAAGAAACCUCAUUAAUGGGGAACAGAGCUGCCCUGCAUGUAACCUCCAUAUAGUGUUUGGAAUCAGAUUGACCCUCUGAGAAUCAUACUGAAGGUGGGCCUCCUCCCAGAACCCACUCAGGAUAGUGGUAUCAAAGCAGCGUUCACUGGACACUUACUGUGCCGAGGCUGUCCUAAGCAUAUCCACGUGUCUCGCUCCAUCUCUGAGGUGUCCUGUUUUGCAAGUGAAACUUCUGAGACAUGGGAGGUAGACUUGCCAGAGUUACGGGGGAAAACUAGGGGUUCACCCUGGACCUGUGUCCUUGCACCAAGAUCUAGGAUAAUGCUUGUAGCAAAAAGUUUUAAAAAUAUUAACAAUGAACUAAAUGCCCAGAGCCUGUAGGUUAGUUGAGUGUGUGUAUCUAAAGCAAAUUUUCUCUGUUGUAUACAUAGUAAAAAAAUUUUUUUUAAAUAUAAGGAAAUCAGAAAGGGAAUAAAAAUGGUUGCCAGGAGCAAUGCCAGCACUGGGGACUCACUAAACCCCAGCGAUAACACUAGUGUAAUGGUGGGUGUCAGGGGAGAGUAUAGGUCCUAGGAAAGGAUAACACUAGGGUACUAAAAUAAGAUGUAAUAGGAGGGUCAUGUGGUGGUGUACCUGGUUAAUUGCACAUAUUACCAGUGUGAGAACCCUGCUCCCCACCUAUAGUGGGUAAGCUUCACAAGUGGUGAAGCAGGUACUGCAGAUAUCUCUUUCUCUCUACCUCUUUCUCCCUCUUCUCUCUCAAUUUCUGUUGGUCCAGUCAAUUGAAAACAAAAUAAUAAAAUUAAUAAAGAAUAAAUAUUAGAGGAGAAGUGGAGAGUUCUGGGCCAAUGAUUAGUGUAUGUAUGUCACAUCAUCACAGGUCCCAGCACUGGGCUAGAUGGUGGCAGUGGCCUCUCCAGAGGUUGUGGCAGUUCCAGGGAGGCCUGCAGCUGAGGCACCAGGAAAGAAAGGUGGGGACCCUAGUCGGGGUUGUGGUGGUCUAUUUUAUGGUUGGUAUAACACAAACAUAGCUGGAAGCUUUGUGCUCCUUCCUCGUAGGGACCCCAGAAUGAGACAGGGAAGUGUCUGAGUGAGCUAUGGCCACUGUCCCCUGCAUGUGGGAAUGACCAAAGCUCAGAGCCUGCAGGCUGGUAAUCAAUGACUCCAAUUCACUGCUGAGUCUGGUGCCAACACUGGGAAGACUCAAGAGCACUGCCUCUCCAGACAGGAUGGCACUGCUAGAAGGGCCUGCUCCCAGAGCACCAGGAAGAGUGGGAACUCCAGAUGGGACAGUGGUGGUCUCCUUAUCAAUGGGGCAUUGUCAGAGUUGAUGAUUCUGUGGUCUUUCUCAACCAUGGCACUAGAGGAGGACAGGGCAGUGGCUGAAGGACCCUGGGCCACAAUCGCCUAUGUGGUAAAGUGAUACAGGCUCAGAACCUGAAGCAUGAUGAUGAAAGUGCCCGUAUCAUACCCCCUACUGUUGUCAGCACGGGAAGAGUGGUGGCUGUUGUCCCUACAGAGGUGGUGGCAGUGACUUGGUGGCCUCCAGCCUGGGCAGUAGCAGCGGUGGGCUGGAUUUUGGCAGUGGCACCCUCAAUGGUGGCUGUGGCUGAAGACCCCCCUUAGACCUGCCCACAGUGACCUGAUUUUGACUGGAGCUGGGGACCUCUGUGGUGUCAGAGGAGGCCUGAUUCUUCUUGGAGGCUGAAACCUCAGAACUUGGGCCACUGUUCUUUCUUCCUCCAGAGACCCCUGUGAUCUGCUUACCUGUGGUUGCAGCACAUUUUGUCACAGUCACUUGUGGAUCUUGGUGACAAUGCUUACAGGUUGGUGGUGGCAGUGGCAUCCCUUUUCCCAGCACCUGGCCUGGUGGAGGCUGGUGCCCAAGAAGUAAGUGCCAGGGGGCCUACAUCCAGGGCAGCCAUAGCAGCAGAGAGCUGGCUACAGGUAGGGGUACCCCACAUGGGCACUGUAGUAGAGGAGCCCUGAGUGUCUGGGAAUGUAGUGGAGAAGCCCCCCCACCCUCACCCCCAAUCUAGUGCUGUGGUGGAGUGUGCUCUGCUGGGCGGAGCAGUGUCAGAAGUGGGAGCCCCAGGCUUCUUUGCAUGGCCCCCAGAGAGCAUCUGCACAGGGGCUAAGUGACCUGUGUCCAUGGUCCCCUGUGAGCUGGAGUGAUUAUGGCUUAGAACCUGAGGGCUGGUCAUGGGAGUGUCCCCAUCAUACCUCUUGCUAAAGCCAGCAGUAGACACUGUGGUGGCAACUGUCCCUCCAGAGGCCAGAGGCCUGCCAGAGUAGACUUCUGCCAUGUAGAGAACAAAUCUGGAGAAGGUACUUUUGACUAUAGUGGUCUACUUUGUUCUUGAUGGGACACUGUCAGAGCUGGGGGCUUUAGGGUCCAUCCCACCAAGGCCCAAAGAAGGGGACAGGGC
This is a long non-coding RNA of Erinaceus europaeus (western European hedgehog), 3760 nucleotides long. RefSeq lists it as uncharacterized. The transcript is spliced from 8 exons. Lineage: Eukaryota; Metazoa; Chordata; Mammalia; Eulipotyphla; Erinaceidae. The record is from RefSeq and is a predicted model, not a curated record.